RNAcentral lists this transfer RNA (49 nucleotides) under Cenostigma eriostachys. RNAcentral describes it as "partial tRNA-Leu". Lineage: Eukaryota; Viridiplantae; Streptophyta; Magnoliopsida; Fabales; Fabaceae. The record is from RNAcentral.
AAUCCGUCGACUUUAGAAAUCGUGAGGGUUCAAGUCCCUCUAUCCCCGA